Molecule: long non-coding RNA, 280 nt
Organism: Mytilus trossulus (common blue mussel)
Lineage: Eukaryota; Metazoa; Mollusca; Bivalvia; Mytilida; Mytilidae
Exons: 2
Source: RefSeq, a predicted model, not a curated record
UGUCGAAUAAUUGACAAUUUAUUACUUUCACUAUGAAAACUUUUUGUUAAUCACGUUGGCCGUACAUUCCACAGCAGCCACAUCAAAAUCAUAUCACGUGUUUGUUUUGUUCUCAUCUUAUUGUUAAAUUUCUUGAUUUACGGCCUAUCACGGAUUUUUUACCACACAAACAUGUAUGUAACCACAUCAUCAUAGAUUAAAUCAUCUAAAAUCACAUGUUGUUACUUCAUUACGGGUAAACUAACUGUAAGGCGGCAGUGCCAAGGCAGAACAUCUUUAA